Eubacteriaceae bacterium CHKCI004 is the source of this 81-nucleotide non-coding RNA. The record is from Rfam. NCBI's taxonomy places the organism in Bacteria, Bacillati, Bacillota, Clostridia, Eubacteriales, Eubacteriaceae.
UAACCAUUGCCGGGAGGUAAUGCUGAGCGCACAGAAGUCAGCAGAGGCCAUAGUAGCUGAAAGUUUUUUUCAGCGAAGGGC